This 2009-nucleotide long non-coding RNA is filed under the name Heterocephalus glaber (naked mole-rat). RNAcentral's name for it is "lncRNA (ENSHGLG00000035546.1)". The record is from RNAcentral. Lineage: Eukaryota; Metazoa; Chordata; Mammalia; Rodentia; Bathyergidae.
GGGCAUGGGAGUGUGGGGCAGAGGGCCCUGCACCGCCCCGCCCCGGGUCCUGUCAUUGCACUUUAGGAGCAGCUUAUGUGGCAAGUUCCGAGGGGCCUGGCGGGGAAGGAGGAAUGUCCCCCACCUGCACCUCCCAUCCAGCCCCUUCCCCCCCAGGUCCCCCCUUUGGAUAAGCUGGCUGUGUCUCCAGUCCUGGUGGCCAAAUAAGGUGCUUGGCAACACUAACUUAGCCUGCAAUUGUACCACCCUCCCAAGAACACGCAUCCAAAUCAAGCCCGAGGUACAGACCCCUGUGGAGAUGUGGGUGGUGGCUCUUCUCCCCUCCACCGGGCCCUGGGCUGGAGGUGGGGCAGGUAUCCUUUCAGCUGAGGUUGGCACACCGGACUGUGGCUCUCAAACUCCUGCAGCCUGAGCCUGGGUAUCACUUAAGUUCUCUACUUCUUAGUCUUGCUCUUCCAAGGAGUUGGAGUGGCAGGGGACUUGGGGCUGUUGCUUGUAUGAACAGGGGCAAAAGCAGCCACAUCCAGCGCUGGGCCAGGCCGUCAUCCCUGGGGCUGCUGCGUUCUCCUAGGGCAAGGUGCCAGGGCCUCCUGCCUGCAGAGCCCCCAUCCAACCUGGCUUCUGCUUUCUCUGCCACCGUCUUAGCCUCUCACUUCCUGCUUCUCCAGGCUGAGGCCCUGAGGACAGACAGUCACUCUGCCACAGUGUGGGCCCUGAGCUUCACCUCUGGUCGGCUGGUCAGGUUGGCAAGCUUCCGCGGGGCCUCGGGCUGCACAGCCCACCCACACCUGUGGUGGCCAGCAGGGUCUCUGUCCAGGACAGCUGAGUGGGGCAGUCGCUGCCCCUGCCCGUGACACCCUGGGUGAUGAGUCAAGUCCAACUCUACUCUGCUUGGCCCCCAGCUGCUGCAGGGAGGGUUGGCCUGUGUCACAGUGUUAGCACGCACCACUUCAUUCUGUCACACCCCAUCACUUGGCAUUUCCUGGCAGAACACAGGUCUGUGCUCUGGCAGAGUGUUCGGUGAGGGUGGCCUCACAGGAGCGGCUCUCUCCUGGCCUGAGGGGAGGGAGCCCUGGUGGCUGCCGACCCCCUGGUAGACAGCCUCCCUGGGCCCUGUGCCUCAGCCCCCGAACCUGACGGUAGGUCAGCUUCAGCAUCUUGUCAUCGAGUCAUCUGUGGCUGUGCUCCCUCUCCUGUCUUGGGGGCAGAGCUGCACUGCACUAGCAGCGGUGUUCCAGGAAGGUCCCUUUGUCCAGGGCAGUCAGUGAAGGAAGCUGCAGGUGUGUCGGCUGGCAAAUGGCUGGGCUGUGCUUAGGGAAGAGGACGAACUGGGCAUCCCAGGCCCUCUCAGCCCCUCCCCUCAGAGCCAUCUGGGCUGGCCCCUGCUGGGCCCUCCUGGCCACCCUGUCACACUCAACCACAGCUUUCCGCGCAGUGAAGACAAGGCGUAAGUUAUUGUUUGCAUCAAGGAAUCAUGUUUCCUGUGUACAUUUUAAAAAGAAAUGUCUCCAAAUUGUAUGGGAAUAAAACUUGUUUGAAAAUUCGGAAUAGUGCUGCUGCCAGCUUAUUUUUCUGGUACUUGUAUUUUCACAUGUUAAAUGAUCUUUAUAUAUGUUGAAUUAACAAAUAUUUUGAGUUUCCUGAGAAAAACAAAUGCAUAUUAAUGGUAUUGAAAUGUGUAGUAGUCUGGCCGUGUGCCCAAAAUUGUUUCACAGCAAAAGUGGAGAACUGUAUGUAAAGAAAGUAUAACAGUUAUUUCUUGUAUUUUAGGGGCUUUAACCAGCACCUCUUCUAGUUGGUGUUAGGAAUGUUGGCUUAAUUUCCACUUUUUUCUUUAACACGUCGUGGUUUUUGAGGCUCCAACCUGAUUAGUGCAUGGUCAGCCCUCACGAAGGCUGAGGCAUCUCUGAAGGAGGUGUUUUUGUUUGGUUUUGUUUUUUAAAAUCAUGUAUUUGCUACCAAGUAUUGUACUUGUCUCAAUGGGAAUGGUGUAAAAAACUGAAAAGGCC